RNAcentral lists this ribosomal RNA (446 nucleotides) under uncultured bacterium. RNAcentral's name for it is "partial 16S ribosomal RNA". It matches the Rfam family "Bacterial small subunit ribosomal RNA", at positions 338 to 795 of the family's 1533-position model. The record is from RNAcentral.
CCUACGGGGGGCUGCAGUCGAGAAUCAUUCACAAUGGGGGAAACCCUGAUGGUGCGACGCCGCGUGGGGGAAUGAAGGUCUUGGGAUUGUAAACCCCUGUCAUGGGGGAGCAAAUUAAAAAGAUAGUACCACAAGAGGAAGAGACGGCUAACUCUGUGCCAGCAGCCGCGGUAAUACAGAGGGCUCAAGCGUUGUUCGGAAUCACUGGGCGUAAAGCGUGCGUAGGCUGUUUCGUAAGUCGUGUGUGAAAGGCGAGGGCUCAACCCGCGGACGGCACAUGAUACUGCGAGACUAGAGUGAUGGAGGGGGAACUGGAAUUCUAGGUGUAGGAGUGAAAUGCGUAGAUAUCGAGAGGAACACUCGUGGCGAAGGCGGGUUCCUGGACAUUAACUGACGCUGAGGCACGAAGGCCAGGGGAGCGAAAGGGAUUAGAUACCCGAGUAGUC